Molecule: long non-coding RNA, 1447 nt
Filed under: Prunus persica (peach)
Lineage: Eukaryota; Viridiplantae; Streptophyta; Magnoliopsida; Rosales; Rosaceae
Description: long non-coding RNA (PPER_LNC003821)
Source: RNAcentral
AGAAAGAAAGGGAAGAAGAGAAAAAGAAGAGAGAAGAAGAAGAGAAAAGAAGAAAGAAAAGAAGAGAAAAAGAAGAAAGAAAAGAGAGAAGAAGAAAAAGAGAGAAAAUUCAGUGAGCCUCACAUAUUGUAAACUCUAAAGUUGUAGCCCUAUUAUUUUAUAUAGUGAAAACGUUACUGCUGCUGCUCUCCGAGGACGUAGGCAUAGCCGAACCUCGUUAAAUGCUGUGUCUCAUCUACUUUACGUGCAGCUCAAUAUUCAUACAUAUUCCAGGUUAUUUUUAUAACACGUUAUCAGCACGAGAAGCUCUCAGGUAUAAUUUUUGUGCUGCACUAUUAUCUAUACUACUAACCACUAACAAAAAUGGACCCUUGGUAAUACUAAACAUAUUAUCAGUGGGAGACCGUUGCUAAUACUAACAUUUUUCUUAUUUUAUUCGGUGGUGGUUUUAACCCCACAUUUAUUUACUGUAUGGUGUAGGUUUAUUACCCAUACAUGCACCUUUACUUUAUCGCAAAUUUAUUUUACCGCAUAUUUAUUUUAUUUACUGUAUGAUGUAGGUUUAUUACCCAUACAACAGUAUUUAUUUAAAAGGGUGGUGCGGGUUUAUCGUCCACGCCUUUGCUUUUAUUUAAAUGUAUGGAGCAGAAUUAGUGCCCAUACAAGCACAAUUUACUUUACCGCACAUUUAAUUUUAUUUAAAGUAUGGUGCGGGAUUAACGUCCAUACAGCAAGCAAUUUAAUUUAUGCAUUUACUUUACCGCACAUUUAAUUUUAUUUAAAGUAUGGUGCGGGAUUAACGUCCAUACAGCAAGCAAUUUAAUUUAUGAAUUUAAUUUACCGCACAUUUACAUUUAUUUAAAAGGGUGGUGCGGGUUUAUCGUCUACGCCUUUACUUUUAUUUAAAUGUAUGGAGCAGAAUUAAUGCCCAUACAAGCACCUUAACUUUAUGAAUUUAAUUUACCGCACAUUUACAUUUAUUUAAAGUGUGGUGCGGGUUUAUCGUCCAUACCAGUAAUUUAUUUACCAGCAAUUUAUUUUAUGGAUUAAAUGUGCUGUAUGAUGAGUUUUUACAGUAUGCAGAUCAGGACCAGAAGUUCCUUGAUCCUCAUCAUACAAUUACAUCAGAACUUGAAGAUCCUUGAUGAUGAUGUUAAUAUGAGAGCUGGCAGUCUCUCCGGUACUGUAUUUGUAAACAUGUGAUCGGACUUAAGGGUCCUUGAUCCCUGACAUGUAAAUAAGGACCUAGAGUUCCUUAAUGAUGUAACAGUACCGUAUUGGUUCAUGGUGCCGUACACAUUGAUGAUAACUGUACUGGCAGAUGAAUAGAUACGUAUUCAUGACUUGAUGAAUAGUACUAUUUACAUGAAUAUUGACGUAUGCAUAAAUAUUAACCAUUUUGGGUAAACCGUCACUAUAUACAAAAGGGAACCUGCAGUUCCUUAAA